CACAUGCAGCCGAGCGUAGAGAUCUUUCGGGAUCUUGAGAGCGGCGUACGGGUGCGGAACACGUGUGCAACCUGCCUUUAUCUGGGGGAUAGCCUUUCGAAAGGAAGAUUAAUACCCCAUAAUAUAUUAGAUGGCAUCAUUUAAUAUUGAAAACUCCGGUGGAUAGAGAUGGGCACGCGCAAGAUUAGAUAGUUGGUGAGGUAACGGCUCACCAAGUCAAUGAUCUUUAGGGGGCCUGAGAGGGUGAUCCCCCACACUGGUACUGAGACACGGACCAGACUCCUACGGGAGGCAGCAGUGAGGAAUAUUGGACAAUGGGUGAGAGCCUGAUCCAGCCAUCCCGCGUGAAGGACGACGGCCCUAUGGGUUGUAAACUUCUUUUGUAUAGGGAUAAACCUUUCCACGUGUGGAAAGCUGAAGGUACUAUACGAAUAAGCACCGGCUAACUCCGUGCCAGCAGCCGCGGUAAUACGGAGGGUGCAAGCGUUAUCCGGAUUUAUUGGGUUUAAAGGGUCCGUAGCGGGCUCGUAAGUCAGUGGUGAAAUCUCAUAGCUUAACUAUGAAACUGCCAUUGAUACUGCGAGCCUUGAGUAAGGUAGAGGUAGCUGGAAUAAGUAGUGUAGCGGUGAAAUGCAUAGAUAUUACUUAGAACACCAAU
Molecule: ribosomal RNA, 658 nt
Filed under: bacterium tet-w-51
Lineage: Bacteria
Description: bacterial SSU rRNA
Rfam family: Bacterial small subunit ribosomal RNA
Source: RNAcentral